GGUUCCAAUAGCGUAUUUAAAGUUGUUGCCGUUAAAUAGCUUAUAUUUGGAUUUCUGGCUUGGUGUGUGAGUCCGCUCGUACAAGUUCGUACCAUAUAUGUCUAGCCAUUUUUUGGGAGAGCCAUAAUGGUAUUAAGUUCUUAGUUUUUGGGAUUUUAAUUCUUUCCUGAGAGAAAAUUAGAGUGUUCAAAGUAGGCUCACGCCGUUGAAUAUAUUAAUAUCCAAUAAUAACAUAUAAAUAUUGUACUAUUUUUUGGUUUGUGCACAAUAGUAAUGAAUAUCAGGGACAUUUGCUGGUAUUUUUAUUUCAUUGUCAGAUUUAAAAUUCUUGAUUAUUUUUGAAAAAAAACUACUGCAAAAGCCUUUACAAAAGAGGUUGUCA
This 382-nucleotide ribosomal RNA is filed under the name uncultured eukaryote. Its description in RNAcentral is "partial small subunit ribosomal RNA". It matches the Rfam family "Eukaryotic small subunit ribosomal RNA", at positions 587 to 972 of the family's 1831-position model. The record is from RNAcentral.